AUUUUCACUCCGAUACUAAAUGUGUCAUCGUGGCAGCUGAGUGGAAGCCUUUCCAUCAGUCCCGGCAGCACUCGAGAGUCAGUAAGCGGCGUGUUCAGGACCCGAAACAAAAUGCCUGGCAAUGCUUCAUUCACACUCAGCUGAAGGCAGAUUCGAUUCUGAUCUUUUGUUUAGAAUAGCGAAGUGAAAACAUUCUCUUUACUUUCACAGUAGUGUCUUUUCUGCCUGAAUAGUGGACUGCUGAGCCAGUUCUAAGUACAAAGAGGAAAGCACUGUCAAGAAAAGCAAAAUCCAGCACAUUCUUAAAAUGUUUGAAGUGCAUUGACUACCCCGAGAUCAACAGGAACUGCACAUCAAGAAAAGCAGUGCAAACGACUGUCCAUGCUGUCACGGAACCUGUAUCACUGAGGGAGAGCACACAGUGAGAAACUGCAACUACUUGCUUGAGCCUUUACUGUCCUUUUAAAGCAGAUCCAAAGCCUAAAGAGCCAUGAUGUUCACCACUCGGUGAGAUUUUUAUGUCUGUAACAUUGGAAGAAAACUGCAAAUGUGACUUGAGAUUACAUCUAAAAUAAAUGCUAGUUCUGAU
This 589-nucleotide long non-coding RNA is filed under the name Fukomys damarensis (Damara mole-rat). RNAcentral's name for it is "lncRNA (ENSFDAG00000033096.1)". Lineage: Eukaryota; Metazoa; Chordata; Mammalia; Rodentia; Bathyergidae. The record is from RNAcentral.